GGACCCGCACAAGCAGCGGAGCAUGUGGUUUAAUUCGAAGCAACGCGAAGAACCUUACCAGGGCUUGACAUCCUCCUGACCGGCGUGUAACGGCGCCUUUCCUUCGGGACAGGAGAGACAGGUGGUGCAUGGUUGUCGUCAGCUCGUGUCGUGAGAUGUUGGGUUAAGUCCCGCAACGAGCGCAACCCUUGUCUUUAGUUGCCAUCAGGUCAUGCUGGGCACUCUAGAGAGACUGCCGGGGAUAACUCGGAGGAAGGUGGGGAUGACGUCAAAUCAUCAUGCCCCUUAUGUUCUGGGCUACACACGUGCUACAAUGGCCGGUACAAUGAGAAGCAAUACGGCGACGUGGAGCAAAUCACCAAAAACCGGUCCCAGUUCGGAUUGCAGGCUGAAACCCGCCUGCAUGAAGUCGGAGUUGCUAGUAAUCGUGGAUCAGAAUGCCACGGUGAAUACG
This 454-nucleotide ribosomal RNA is filed under the name uncultured Eubacteriales bacterium. RNAcentral describes it as "bacterial SSU rRNA". It matches the Rfam family "Bacterial small subunit ribosomal RNA", at positions 917 to 1370 of the family's 1533-position model. The record is from RNAcentral. Lineage: Bacteria; Bacillati; Bacillota; Clostridia; Eubacteriales.